Molecule: ribosomal RNA, 960 nt
Filed under: Cercaria capricornia
Lineage: Eukaryota; Metazoa; Platyhelminthes; Trematoda
Description: eukaryotic LSU rRNA
Rfam family: Eukaryotic large subunit ribosomal RNA
Source: RNAcentral
GCAUAUCACUAAGCGGAGGAAAAGAAACUAACAAGGAUUCCCUCAGUAACGGCGAGUGAAGAGGGAAAAGCCCAGCACCGAAGCCUGUGGCCAUUUGGUUACUAGGCAAUGUGGUGUUCAGGUCGUUCCGCAGAGGUGCUGCUUCACUCCAAGUCCAACAAUGAGUACGGUAGUACGGACAUGGCCCAAAGAGGGUGAAAGGCCCGUGGGAGUGGAGAUUCAGGCAGGCCAGUGCCUCUCUGGGUAGACCUUGGAGUCGGGUUGUUUGUGAAUGCAGCCCAAAGUGGGUGGUAAACUCCAUCCAAGGCUAAAUACUAGCACGAGUCCGAUAGCGAACAAGUACCGUGAGGGAAAGUUGAAAAGUACUUUGAAGAGAGAGUAAACAGUGCGUGAAACCGCUCAGAGGUAAACGGGUGGAGUUGAACUGCAAGCUUUGGGGAUUCAGCUGGUGAGUGUGAAUUGAGCUUGGUCAAAUUGGUUGGACUCUGGGGUCUGUGUAGUAGCAGGUCUCCGCUUUCGGGUGGGGAUGCGCGAUGCACUUAUCAAGUGUUGUGCGCCUCAGUGUUCUUCGGGCCAACUUGCCAGUGCACUUUCUCAGAGUGGUCACCACGACCGGCACUGCUGUCUGGCUGUUGCGGUUAAACCGGUUUUGCAUCGGUCUUGUGCCUUUGCUUGAUCGGGAUGGCAGGUAGCUCGUUGGCUUGUCUGUGGCUUGCUGCAGGCGUUCGGCUUUCGGGUGUAAUCAGCUGACUGUGAUGGUUCUGUGCGGUGUGUCGGAGACGGCGGCUUGUGGUGUGUCCGGGUGUGCCUAUCGUUGGCGUUUUCGGGUUUGGUCGUUAUGUUGCUUGUUCAAGCAGGCCUAGUGAUGGCUCGGAUUCGUUCGAUGGUAUGGUUACAGAUGGGACACCUUUUAUCCAGGGCCAACAGUCUGUGGUGUAGUGGUAGACUAUCCACCUGACC